UAACAUGAAGCAAUUCCACUGGGGUUC
Molecule: non-coding RNA, 27 nt
Filed under: Homo sapiens (human)
Lineage: Eukaryota; Metazoa; Chordata; Mammalia; Primates; Hominidae
Source: RNAcentral